Molecule: long non-coding RNA, 439 nt
Organism: Oxyura jamaicensis (ruddy duck)
Lineage: Eukaryota; Metazoa; Chordata; Aves; Anseriformes; Anatidae
Exons: 4
Source: RefSeq, a predicted model, not a curated record
UUUUUUUUUUUUUUUUUUUUUUUUUUUUUUUUUUUUCCCCAUGGUGUACAGCUUGUGGUUGUAGAGAGAGCAAGGAGCCUCUAUUGUACUGAUGUAAUCUUCAGUUUUACAUCCCAAACCACUCAGUGGCUAAGAGGGCAAUGCAGUGGUUUGGCUUUUGGUUGGAAGACAAAAGAUGGCCUUCCUUCAGAGUAGCUAAGCUGUGGCUUAGAGAAACAGAGUCCAACUGACUACCAGAGUUCCUGUGUGAUAUUUCACCUUCCCUCACAUAAAUGUUUCACAGAUGCAAAUUUCUCAGAAAAACAAGGAUUGAUCAGAAUGAAGUAACAAAUGGCAUUAAUUAUCAAACCACAAGAGCAGAUCAACAGGUCAAUAUUAAAGUGUGACUGCCUACUUUCAGACUACAGUAGCAGCUGCUUGCCUGAGGAAUUAUGGAGAG